RNAcentral lists this long non-coding RNA (2772 nucleotides) under Equus caballus (horse). RNAcentral describes it as "lncRNA (ENSECAG00000058778.1)". The record is from RNAcentral. Lineage: Eukaryota; Metazoa; Chordata; Mammalia; Perissodactyla; Equidae.
ACAGGGGUCUGUAGUCUCAGGGAGCCCCAGGUGAGUGCGUGGCGUGAGAGGAUAAUGGGGCUCCUGGGCCAGAGACACAAAGAGUGAGAGACAGUGAGACCUGGUUUCCAGAAUGGAGAAGGGGUUUAUGGGAGGAAUGAGCCCCUGCAUCCACAGGUGGUCUUUCUCCCAGGAGAGUCUGGGAAGCUCUCCCUUCUGACCUAGAAGGGACCUGUGGUGGCCUCUGGGCAGAGACUGACCCUCCAGUGCCCCUCUGAUGUCGGCUAUGACAGAUUUGCUCUUCCCAAGGAGGGUGGACAUGACCUCCCCCAGGACCUUGGACGGCAGCCCUAGGCUGGGCUCUGUCAGGCAGACUUCCGCCUGGGCCCUGUGAGACCCUACCAUGGGGGCCAGUAUAGGUGCUACAGUGCAUACAACCGGUCCUCGAAAUGGUCAUCCCCCAGCGACCCCCUGGACACUCUGGUGGAAGAUGAAGAGACAGCUGGUCAGUCAGGGACCCAGACCCUGCACAGGCCUUGCUGUGGUGAUUCCUGGAUGAAGGAAGGAGAGAGAUAAAGAGAGACAGGGGAGAGAAAGGGAGAGAGAGACAUUCAAAGGGAACAAGACAGACAGAGAUGAGGGUCCUCAGAGAGAGGCCUGGGGACUUUCAGUUAAGAACAUGGUGAGAGGGCAGCCCCUCAUACACCCUUCCUCUCUCUUGGACAGCUCCCUGACACACCCUCUCUCUUAGUGCAGCUGUGCCCCCUGGUGGCCUCAGGAGAGAACGUGACCCUGCUGUGUCAGUCAUGGACCCCGAGGAACAUUUUCCUUCUGUCCAAGGAGGGGACAGCGGAUCCCCCACUGCGCCUUAGAUCAAAGUACCAAGCUCAGUAGAACCGGGUCCAAUUACCCAUGAGUCCUGUGACCUCAGCCCACAGGGAGACCUACAAAUGUUACAGCUAAUACAACACUAUCCUCUACCUGUUAUCACACUCCACUGACACCCUGGAUCUCACGGUCUCAAGAGCUGCUGAUGCCAUCAACCCAUCAUGAAACAAGCCAGGUCCCAAGAGCGGUGACUAGGAGAAAUUCUCAGUUAUGGGGCUGGUGCAGACGGUAAUGUCUUGUCAAGGGGAGGCGCAGUGUCCUGAGGGGAUAUCCAGGGAUCCUGGUGUGAUUUUGACCUGCCCUGACCUCUGUGAACACUUAGACUGCAAUUCUUAGAGUCACACCCCCAAGACUAUACGGUGGAGAAUCUCAUCUGGAUAGGCAUGGCUAUCUUGAUCCUGGUGCUCCUUGGGGUCCUGCUUAUUCAAGCUCGACACACCCAGAGAACGACCCAAGAUGCAGCCAGGAGGUAAACACAAGAGGGAACACUGCACCAUUCAGAGUGGUGGAGAAUUAGAACAAGUCUGAUGAUCCCAGGAGGUUGAAAGUAAAUCUGGACCAUAAGUUUGGGGAUCUGUCUGCUGAAAAUGUUGAGGGAUGUAAACCUGGUUUAGAUUCAGGAAAAUGUCUCGAGUGCUCCCUGUACAGGAUGCUCCCUCCAUUAAAUUUGUAUUUUCUCUCCCUACCAUCGUUGGCUUUCGUUGACUGGCUCUCCCUUUUUCUCACCCCUAUCACAUGAGGGUACAUCCUUCGUGGCUGGUUUGGGUCCACAUGUAAAACCUCAUGUUCUUAAACACUGUUCUGUAAUACAAUUUUCUUUUUUUUUUUUAAAGAUUUUAUUUUUUCCUUUUUCUCCCCAAAGCCCCCCGUACAUAGUUGUAUAUUCUUCGUUGUGGUUUCUUCUAGUUGUGGCAUGUGGGACGCUGCCUCAGCAUGGUCUGAUGAGCAGUGCCAUGUCCGCGCCCAGGAUUCGAACCAACGAAACACUGGGCCGCCUGCAGCGGAGCGCGCGAACUUAACCACUCGGCCACGGGGCCAGCCCCCUGUAAUACAAUUUUCUUUACUUGCAACAAACACAUUACCAGAUGCACGUUGUUGAGUCUCCAUAUCUUCAGUCCACAGGACUUCACCUGGUUUCAGUAACUGAAUAAAGGGGCAAAAAUCAGAUUGUAUUCUGGACAAGAUAAAUCUGAAACUAUGCCUACCAUCCUCUCUGGAUCCCAUGAUCCUUUCUCUCUUCACCAUACGCCAACUAUGUCAUUUUUCCAGAAAUGUCAUCACUUGGAAUCAACACAUUGGUGUUUGAGGUGACAACUUAAUGGUGUGCUGCCACUGAAAAAACUCCUUUAAAAAAUCCAGCUAUCCCACUGCUGGGUAUUUAUUCAAAGAACUUGAAAACACCAAUGCAUAAAGAUACAUGCACCCCUAUGUUGAUUGCAGCAUUAUUCACAAUAACCAAGACUUGGAAGCAAUGUAGGUGCCCAUCAAGGGACGAGUGGAUAAAGAAGAUGUGGUAUCUAUACACAGUGGAAUACUACUCAGCCAUAAGAAAUGAUGAAAUCCGGCCAUUUGUGACAACAUAGAUGGACCUUGAGGGUAUUAUGCUAAGUGAAAUAAGUCAGAGGGAGAAAGUCAAAUACCAUAUGAUCUCACUCAUAAGUAGACAAUAAAAACAAUGACAAACAAACACAUAGCAAUGGAGAUUGGAUUGGUGGUUACCAUAGAGGAAGGGGGGAGGGGGAGGGCAAAAGGAGUGAUUAGGUUCACAUGUGAGGGGAUGGACUAUAAUUAGUUUUUGGGUGGUGAAGAUGAUGUAAUCUACACAGAAUUCAAAAUACAUUAUGAUGUACAUCUGAAAGCUAUAUAAUGUUAUAAUCCAAUGUUACGCAAUAAAAUAGAAAACCA